CGUCGAAGGUGGGGCUGAUGACUGGGGUGAAGUCGUAACAAGGUAUCCGUACCGGAAGGUGCGGAUGGAUCACCUCCUAACAGGGAGACAAAACAAUGAUUUUGAUGUCUGAGUAUUUCAUUCUUAGGCCGAAAUCCUGUCACCUUAGGUCGAUCGGUACCUCAACAUUUUUCCAAAGAUUGGUGAGCAAUCAUCAAGAGAUUGGAAUGGAUGUUCAGUUCCUAAACUUUGUCUAGGUCACACCCCGCAAGGGAAGAGUCCCCUGGGCCAUUAGCUCAGGUGGUUAGAGCGCACCCCUGAUAAGGGUGAGGUCCCUGGUUCAAGUCCAGGAUGGCCCAUUCGGUGUUGGGGGUUUAGCUCAGUUGGUAGAGCGCCUGCUUUGCAAGCAGGAUGUCAGGAGUUCGAGUCUCCUAACCUCCACUGACAGAACUCAAUCUCCAUUGUCCGGUAACUCGGAGGAUGAACUCGAUGGCGUGUGAUUUAGAUGUGUCCACUAGAUAGGACCCUAGCUUCCUGUCAUUCCGAACAAGUAAUCAUUGCUUGAUUGGUUGAUAUGAUGCUGGGCUCAGAUUAAUCGAAAGAUUAAUUUGAUCUCUAGUAGAACCUUGACAACUGCAUAAGUAAGUCUGGAAAAACGAAGCAUCUUACAGAUGCAUUGUUUUAAAUCUGAAUUCUCGAAAGAGAGUUUGGAUCUAGAAUGAUGAAAAUUCUUUUAAGCAAGAGCCGAGACUCUUAGAUGUUCUUUUUAUCGUGUCGAGCGAUAAAGAGUUUGAUUUUGUUUUUAUGAGCAGUGAAAGUUGCUGAUGAAACCAGAAGAAUCUGCUUUCAACCGCAGUAAGCGUUUAAGAGGUUAAUUGGUCAAGCUACAAAGGGCUCAC
This 878-nucleotide unclassified non-coding RNA is filed under the name uncultured Synechococcus sp. Its description in RNAcentral is "partial may contain 16S ribosomal RNA, 16S-23S ribosomal RNA intergenic spacer, and 23S ribosomal RNA". The stretch from base 348 to 420 matches the Rfam family "tRNA". The record is from RNAcentral. Lineage: Bacteria; Bacillati; Cyanobacteriota; Cyanophyceae; Synechococcales; Synechococcaceae.